UCCCUGCUGGCUCAGAGGGUAAAGCGUCUGCCCGCCGUGCAGGAGACCCGGGUUCGAUUCCUGGUUUGGGAA
Ovis aries (sheep) is the source of this 72-nucleotide transfer RNA. It matches the Rfam family "tRNA". Rfam says of the family: Transfer RNA (tRNA) molecules are approximately 80 nucleotides in length. Their secondary structure includes four short double-helical elements and three loops (D, anti-codon, and T loops). Lineage: Eukaryota; Metazoa; Chordata; Mammalia; Artiodactyla; Bovidae. The record is from Rfam.